GACGAACGCUGGCGGCGUGCUUAAUACAUGCAAGUCGAACGGAAAGGCCCUGCUUUUGUGGGGUGCUCGAGUGGCGAACGGGUGAGUAACACGUGAGUAACCUGCCCUUGACUUUGGGAUAACUUCAGGAAACUGGGGCUAAUACCGGAUCGGAGCUCCUGCUGCAUGGUGGGGGUUGGAAAGUUUCGGCGGUUGGGGAUGGACUCGCGGCUUAUCAGCUUGUUGGUGGGGUAGUGGCUUACCAAGGCUUUGACGGGUAGCCGGCCUGAGAGGGUGACCGGCCACAUUAGGACUGAGAUACGGCGCAGACUCCUACGGGAGGCAGCAGUGGGGAAUAUUGCACAAUGGGCGGAAGCCUGAUGCAGCAACGCCGCGUGCGGGAUGACGGCCUUCGGGUUGUAAACCGCUUUCGCCUGUGACGAAGCGUGAGUGACGGUAAUGGGUAAAGAAGCACCGGCUAACUACGUG
This 468-nucleotide ribosomal RNA is filed under the name uncultured bacterium. RNAcentral describes it as "partial 16S ribosomal RNA". It matches the Rfam family "Bacterial small subunit ribosomal RNA", at positions 28 to 507 of the family's 1533-position model. The record is from RNAcentral.